GGACCCGCAAAAGCGGCGGAGCAUGCGGAUUAAUUCGAUGCAACGCGAAGAACCUUACCAAGGCUUGACAUACACCAGAACGGGCCAGAAAUGGUCAACUCUUUGGACACUGGUGAACAGGUGGUGCAUGGUUGUCGUCAGCUCGUGUCGUGAGAUGUUGGGUUAAGUCCCGCAACGAGCGCAACCCUCGUUCUAUGUUGCCAGCACGUUAUGGUGGGAACUCAUGGGAUACUGCCGGGGUCAACUCGGAGGAAGGUGGGGAUGACGUCAAAUCAUCAUGCCCCUUAUGUCUUGGGCUUCACGCAUGCUACAAUGGCCGGUACAAUGGGCUGCGAUACCGCGAGGUGGAGCGAAUCCCAAAAAGCCGGUCCCAGUUCGGAUUGAGGUCUGCAACUCGACCUCAUGAAGUCGGAGUCGCUAGUAA
This 424-nucleotide ribosomal RNA is filed under the name uncultured bacterium. RNAcentral's name for it is "bacterial SSU rRNA". It matches the Rfam family "Bacterial small subunit ribosomal RNA", at positions 917 to 1341 of the family's 1533-position model. The record is from RNAcentral.